Molecule: transfer RNA, 87 nt
Filed under: Treponema vincentii ATCC 35580
Lineage: Bacteria; Pseudomonadati; Spirochaetota; Spirochaetia; Treponematales; Treponemataceae
Description: tRNA-Tyr
Rfam family: tRNA
About the family: Transfer RNA (tRNA) molecules are approximately 80 nucleotides in length. Their secondary structure includes four short double-helical elements and three loops (D, anti-codon, and T loops).
Source: RNAcentral
UGGGGAGAUUCCCGAGCGGUCAAAGGGGGCAGACUGUAAAUCUGUUGGCUCCGCCUUCCAAGGUUCGAAUCCUUGUCUCCCCAUUUU